Long non-coding RNA from Fukomys damarensis (Damara mole-rat), 646 nucleotides. RefSeq lists it as uncharacterized. The record is from RefSeq and is a predicted model, not a curated record. The transcript has 3 exons. NCBI's taxonomy places the organism in Eukaryota, Metazoa, Chordata, Mammalia, Rodentia, Bathyergidae.
CUCCCGGUCGGGCCCCAGCCCCGCGCGGCUGAGCACUGAGCUCUCCGAUCCGCAGGAGGCGGCUCCCUCCUCGGCAGAGGCCCCCCUUUUCCUGGAAACUCACGUUCUCUCUAUUCAGAAGCCACCAUAGCCAAUACUGAAUUGAAAUGAAAUUGCUUCUUACCAAGUGAGAAGGACCACAGGGUGGACUUUCGCCAGGACAGAGUUGUCUGACAGAACCGGCCCCAGUCUGCAGCGCGGCCCUUCCAGCCCAGCCAGACCCGAAGGCCUGUGUCCUGUAAGGGACCCAACCCCAGUCACCCGUCAAGCCCUCCCACCGGCUUCCUGAUCGGAAACACUGUUUUAGGCAGACGAGUUAGGGCUGUUUGUCACACAGCACUAAGCGGCACACCUGCUGCACAGAACUCACCUGAUCCAUUUUGGAAAACUGAGGUACAGGGAGGUGCUAUAACCCGCCCAGCCACACAGCUUGCAAAUGGUGAAGUUGGGAUUUGAACUACCAGGCCCUGCUGGCUUUGACCCGUUGUGGGAUUGGGGGCACCGGAAGAAGGUAAAAUCUCCAAGGAGCCCCGUGCCUCAGUUUCCCCAUCAACACAGUGAGCGCAGUAGUGCCGGGUCUGCAUGCCGCUUAAAGGGGUUAAGGGCC